Molecule: long non-coding RNA, 1431 nt
Organism: Bos taurus (domestic cattle)
Lineage: Eukaryota; Metazoa; Chordata; Mammalia; Artiodactyla; Bovidae
Source: Ensembl
UAAAAAUGAAUAUAAAUUUUAUUGAAAAACAACACCAGCAACAAUGAGGGGAAAUCAUACCUAACAGCCAGUGGCCCACACAACUCAAUGCACACGUUAUGAAAAGUAAUCACCUCUUCAAAGCUCCAGCUAUGCAUCCAAAUGAAAAGAAAUGAUCGACCUCAGAUAAACUGACGGGGGACGCAGAUGUACACCACCUCUCACCUCGGAAAGCUUUGCCAACAGCAAAGGACGCUACCAUGCUAUUCGGUCCCCCGUUUGCUGUGGGUGAUCCAGUGAAUUUCAAAAAUUAAACUGGUUUGGAAAGAACUGGUUAGCAUGGCAGCAAAGACCCAAGACCACUGAGAAAUUUUUUCUACUUUUCCAGUCCUUUGAGAAGAGGAUUUCACAAACUUUCUUGGCAACUUGUCCCUCCUGCUUAACAACAGGAAAUACUUCUUUACGUCUAGCCUAAAUCCUUCAUGCUUCAGUUAAUCUAUUUAUUUCCUCUUAAUCUCAGCAGGCUGUCAGGGGUUUGUCCUGGUGGGACAAUGUAACAUAUGGGGAACACACAAUGAUCACAAUCAGAUUGGAGGCAGAGUCCAGCUGUGCUAGUGGCGCUUCCAAAACAAGUUGAACAGAAGUUAAUUGCAGUUGUGGUUUUCGCCCAUUUGCCUCGUCCCACUCUCCCACCCUCCCCGACCCUCUAUGCCCUUCUGUGGCUUCAGGGCUGCCAUCCUAGGGCUUGCAGCAAAAGCUUUCUGAGUUCCAUCAGUUCCAAUUUUUCACUGAUUUACGAAUGAAUGUGGUCAGACUGUCCCAUCCACUUCUACCCGAUUUCCGGGUAAAAUAUUCCCAAACGGUUAUCACGUUCUCGUCUUCGCACCAUGCCAGGCAGUUCCUUGCCUCGCUUCACAACUUGUGUGGGAACGACGUGCUCCACGGAUACAUGAGAAAACUCCGAGAAGCCACGAGAAGGCACUCAGUGAAUUUAAUAUAAACAUCCCAGCCGCAUUUUUUUCAAAUGCUGCAUAAAACCCCCAGCCUCACGGGAGUUUGCAGCACCUGCAGCUCCGCAUUUCGGACAGCAGGGGACGCCCGUGCCAUUCCACUGGCCGUUAGAACGCCUCGGUCGGGAAACAAAGAUGGGGAUUUGAAUAAAAGACUUCAAAAUGCAACCCCGAAUUCUACCCUGAGCAGCAUGCGUGUAAAAAUUCAUGAAGAUUGGAUUUCAUUUCAUGUAUUUUUACUUCAAUGGAAAGAAAUGCAGGUGUUGUCUGUGCCUACAGCUGUCUUUACAAGGAGCGGGGGGCGCCUGGUUAAACGAGCAGGGAGGGGUUGCUGAUGCUCCCAGGCGCUUGGCGAGGCUGGGCCACCGUCUCCUGCUUGGGACAGCUCCUGUUUUGCUGGGUGGCAUCCUUUGUGUGCUCCAGAAUGUAUAGACUAAUUAUA